RNA transcript from Ostrea edulis (European flat oyster), 7282 nucleotides. It is a transcript of the gene named multiple epidermal growth factor-like domains protein 10, with no coding region annotated. The record is from RefSeq and is a predicted model, not a curated record. The transcript is spliced from 7 exons. NCBI's taxonomy places the organism in Eukaryota, Metazoa, Mollusca, Bivalvia, Ostreida, Ostreidae.
UAAUUUUGUCUUCUUGGUUAUCAUCCACAAUGUACAGACGGUGGAUAUAUAUGUGCCUUGUAUUCUACCUUACUUUGGAAACUUCUUAUUCACAGUGUUCUGACGACAAAACCUGUGAAUGUCACUGCAAUUGUUGUUCAAACUGCCUUGGAUUUUAUUGUACCUCGUGCAACAGAGAAGGCUGGAGUGGUUUAACUGCCAACGGAUGCCAGAGAAAGAAUAUAGCUUAUAAUCAGACAACAUAUCAAAAAUCCACAAAUACGGAUUCAAGUAAUGCAGUAGAUGAAAAAAUCUCAACAUACUCUAGGACUGAAGUUCAGAAAAAUCCUUGGAUAAAAGUGAAGUUUGAUAAAAUCGAAAGAGUGAAACACAUGUUCAUAACACUUUCGGCGGUUUUUGGUGAAGAAAUAAAGAUAAAGACAACGGAUAAACUCCACCCUACGCGAAAUCCACUCAAACUCAUAUGGGCCUAGAACGAAUGUUAGUACUGUAGAAAUUAUACAAUUUGUAUGAUGUUUCAAUGCGCGGAAUCUAUUUCCACGUAAUCAGUCCACAUGAAACUUUAAAAUAUUGACAAUCCACGAAAAUUAGCCCGCAAUAAUAUACAUGAUUCCACAGUAUCGAUACACCUUACAAUUUAACUCAUCGAGAUUUUGUUUGCUGUGCCAUGUACAUGUAUCAACUUCUAAUAUCUUUGGUUUAAAUACAUUUAACCUUUUUGAUGCAAGAUAUCGGGAACAUUCUCAAAACAAUAUUGGUGGAAAUGAACACCAGUUUAUUGGUACUUUAUACCUCAUAGAUAUGCACAUUUACUAUUCUAAUAUUCUCGCACUGCAAAGUACAGACUAUUUUUUUUAACUUUAUUGUUUAAAUGUCUACAGUAACAUGCGUUCUCUGUUUUAAUUGGUGUUGCGGAAACGCGGAACGGAAAACUGAACGGAACAGAAAUUUAAAAACUAGAAAUGUAGCUAACAUAACACCAAAACAAAAAUCAGGCAAAUGUGGUUUAUUUUUAUUAAAUUCAAAAUGAGAAUUUAUUUACAAUCGAUAAAAGAAUUAAUAAAUCUCAUAAUUCUGCAUGAUAAAUUGAUUAAGCAUAUGGAAAGUUGAAGAUAACGAACAGUGAUCAACCUCAUAACCAAGUUGAAUGUUAGCGAGCAGCGACACCUAUAAGUAGAGAAUAGAAAAAACGCAGUCUGACUCAGGGUGUAUAAUUAUACCCCCUUCAAAACAUCUUUAACGCACAUGUAUAUUCAUAAAAUACAGUGUAUGUGUGUACUUACAUUCUUCGUGUUACAACAGGAAGUAUGGUAUGUGAAGGUGAUAAACAACGAUAAUCCAUAAUUUUAUUAAACCAACAAGUUGAACAUCUUGUGUUUGAUUUAUUAUUUUCUAACUAACAGCGACUGAUGACCGUAGCACUCCAAUCCUACAUUUUAACAGAUAGGCGAGAACUUCUGGAAAUUUAUUUCUAAUCCAACUAUUGAUAUCUUAAUAUUAAUAUGACGUCCAUUUCAUCCAAUCCAUAUGUAAAUUAUCUGUUAGCCGUUUACCUAUUUCAUAUAUUAUGAAAUACAGCUGUUAAUGCCUCUUAUAUGUACUAAAGUCAUAAACUUCAUCUUAGUUUAUUUUGAUUCUGUUUCAUUCGUUUUCCCCACCGUUUCUCUUCGAGUCCACCUUUCCACAGAAUACCGGUAAAUCUACGAAAUUUCACUUUACAUUAUGUCAAUAAUGAUAAUAUCCUUUUUAUGGAGCAAAGUAUAUUACUUAAUGACCUAUUAGAAAAUCAAAUGAUAAGCAGUUGCAUGCCAUAUAAUUAUAAUGAAAAAACUUUAUAAUUCCAUAUAAAGAAAACAAUACAUGAUUGGAAAGGGUGUAUCGUUCCCCUGGAAGUAUACGUACUAUAUAUGAAGUCUAACGUCAACAUACUUGCAAAAUAAUUGAGCAGAUAUUUUUUUUUAAAUGAACAGUUACACGGACGCAUGAGCAAAGGUUUGCCCCUUUGAAUCAAAUAUCGUAUAAUGUAUAGUUUCUGUAUUUUUUUUGGGGUAGGAAUUGGAAGUUACUUUGUCUAUGUGAAGAAUUCGUCAAAUGAGAAUUUAGAUAGAGAAUCUUUGUGUGCCAGAAUACAGAAUAAUGAACGUCAGUCAUUGAAAUGGAACAUUACAUGUAAAAAUGACCAAGCAAUUACCGGUGAUCAAAUUGUCAUUUUGAGGGAAACAACAAGAGGAAGUUUGAUCGUGUAUGAUAUCAAAGUGUUUCAAUGCAGCACAGGAACAUAUGGGUACUUGUGUGACAAGACGUGUGUAAAGUGUAUGGACAAUCAAUGUGACGGAUUCACGGGAGUUUGCAUAAAAGGCUGCAAGAGUGGUUGGUAUGGAGACAGGUGUGACGUAGAAUGCCCCUCUGAUUGUGAAAGUGGUUCCUGUGCCAGUGGUAACAACUGUACACGAUGUUUACCGGGAUAUUUUGUAAUGAAUUAAUACCGUCAAAUAGUACGUCAUCAACAACGCCUUAUGUCUACGUUGUCGCCGUCCUUGGAGGUCUGUUACUGGUACUGACAAUUACACUGGUUACAUUCUUUGUGAAACGAAAAAGGGAGCGAGAAAGAACGAUUCGGAUGACUUAUCAAACUGUCCAAGUCGGCUGCCAAAAAACUGACCAUGACUACGAAUGUGUUAGCAUUGAACAUGAUUAUGGAACUAUCGAUUCCUGAGAGCUGUGUCACAAAUGAAGGAGUUAAAGACAAAAAUAUACAUAAAGGAACAUGUAAAAUUUCGUUCCAUUACUAUUUUACUACGUGAUUCAAAUACAUACAAGUCAGACUCUCUCUCUCUCUCUCUCUCUCUCUCUCUCUCUCUCUCUCUCUCUCUCUCUCUGUGUGUGUGUGUGUGUGUGUGUGUGUGUGUGUUACUGUUAAUGUUAUACAACUCUUCCUUGUGAUCAGUAUAUUUGUUACGGUAUGUGUGUAUCCGAUGUUUUGUAAGAUUUACUGAGUCAAACAAAGUGUUUCCUGCAACACUGUAGUUCUUCUAAAAAUGUUGGACCUACCAGAAAAUCUUCAAUAUGCAGUAUUUUUUUCCUGGGCGCCAUUGGCAUCUUAUAUCGUGUAUUUUUGUAUCGUUGUCUCAAAAUUUUAUAUCAAAUCAUUUCUAAGAUAUGUUCCCACAACACUUGUGCAAAUCUAAAACUCGCAGGUUAAAAUAUUUUUUGUUUGUUAACGAAGUCAUGUAAUGAAUACUUCCUGCAAAUUAUCCAUUUCAAACUAUGUUACUUGGAUGCGUCAAAACAAAUGAAGUGCUUUUUAUGUGGAAAAAAGAAAUAUACGUUUAAAAUAGAAACAAAAAACAAUUAAGUUGGGGAUGGGUUAGGAGUAUCAACUUCUUAUACCAAACUUAAUGCUAUGCCAGGUCACUGGGUUCCAAGGCAAUCGGUCAAGUCCUCCGGGUCCCCCCCCCUCUCUCUCUCUAUCUGUGUGUGUGUGUGUUAAAUUGCGAUGGGUAAUUCGGCGGAAAUUAUCAUGAAUAAAUUGAGAAUUCAAACUUUCUAAAAUUAAAAUGUCGGUGCUUCAUGAUCAGCAAAUGAAUGUAUUUUAUAUAUCCAUAUCAGUUAACGUUAAGGAUAAUAAUAUGAGCUAUUUUAGGAUGUUAUAAGGAGAUAAUUUUAAAGAUUUUUGUGUCAUUACUCCUCCCAAAUGCGAAAGAGUAUAAAUAUUGCGAUAAUUUAUCACUUCAUCGUACCAUUUCUUGCUACUGGACUGGUAGGCUGCGUUAUUUCAAGUGCCAAUCCAUUAAAUAUUACCUAUUUUUACACGAAGUGUUGUAUAUAUAUGUCGUAUUUUGAUUUUCGCUUUGUUUUAAACAUCUCCAAAUUGUUUUAUUCGGAACACCUUUGCACAUGCAAUUUCCGAAGGUAUUUAGCGUCAAAGUGUCACAAAGAAAAGAAAGAAAACUUAUCUAAUAUUGACAUAAACGUCAAAUUAGGCUACAGCGUCUUGGUAACCCUCAAGACUAUUUUACAAACAUACGAUGUAAAGCAAAACAUUUAUAAACCUUCACCUUAUACAUGUAUAUAUCAAAGCUUAUUUUUUCCUUAAAGGAAAAGUAACUUAAGGAUCUUGUUCACAUUUCAGGUCGUAUUAUACUGCCAUUAAAUAGCUUUUUUUUUGUAAUUCAUUUUUUUUAAUUUAUUCAUUUUGUGUUUGUUUUCACAAUAAAUAAACAUUUACAUAUCCACAACACAUGAUAAUAUAGUAUACACAUAUUUCAAGCAACUACAAACGUGUGUAUAUUUAGAUAUGUAUAUAGUGUGAAAAGUUUUUAACAAAAUUAAAUAGCUUUCAUCUCCAAAGUAAAACAUAAUAAGUCGUCUGUAGAAUAUGAUAUUUGCAUUUAUGAAUUUCUUUUUAAAUUGUGCUUUGCAUUAGCCCUCUGUAAGUCAUGUACAUAAAAUAGUUUUAAAGGACAGUAUGAUAUCAAUAUUGAUAUUAUAUAAAGAUGUGAUUGAACAGUUAUCAAUACGUGAGUGAAAAUUUGGUCCAUGUAAUACACAAUAGCUAUAAUUCAGAAUACACUCUGUUUGCAAUCUUAACGGUUUGCACAAUGAAAGUUAAAGAUAACAAACAGUGAUCAAUCUCAUUACUCCUAUAAGCAAUACAAAAUAAAGAGUUGGGCAAACACGGAACCCUGGAUAUACUAGAGGUGGGAUUAGGUGCCUACGAGGAAUAAGCAUCCCCUGUCGACCGGUCACACCCGUCGUAAGCCCUAUAUAUCGAUCAGAUAAACAGAGUAAUCUGUGGUCAAAAUCAGUGUGCCAAGAACGAUCUAAUAAUCGGCAAGAAACACGUCAGACAAUAUUGAACCAAAUGAUACAUGUAGGUUGUAUUGGCAAAUUAGAUCGUUAUAACUGUCAUAGAAUUUGCAAAAUGCUGACCUUAAACGAGACGAAACCCUGCGCCAUCAACUUGUUUGUCAGUAGCCUGCCUCGAUUUAAAAACUGAUCAUACGCAGGACACCUUGCGUAUAUCGAAUCAGUUGAGAGAUAUAAACACUAUCUACAGAUAAUACUAGAAUAUUGCUACAUAAAUAUGGGAAGUUGACGAUGGAUAAGCUGAAAUCAUCCCGUUUGUCAUAAAGAUGGGUGGUUAGUUUGCCGUUAGUAUCGAUUUCCAAUAAAAUAUCUAACUAUGAAGCAAAACUGGACGACUCUGGGGUGUCUUUUAUUUCGAAUUCACGGGUAUUUUGAUUGAUUGAUUUUGAUCUUGCGUCGUUUCCUCAAUAUUUCAGUCAUUUUACGGCGGUUAACUAGUUGAAAUAUGUUUGGUUUUGGGUGUUUGAUUUUCUCUGACCGCAUCCAGUGAGUCUCCUCUUUUUCAAAAAUCGGGGAAACGAUCUUUUGUGUGCCAAGGGGGUUGUGAUCCUUGACACGGGACACCGUUUAACGUCUCAUCCGACGGACAUUUAACGGGGAUAUAUCGAUUCGACAUAUGAAUGAAAAUUAUCAUUGUUUAUAGAUAAAACAUCGUUGAUAUAUCUAAAUGUCGAAUUCAAGACCACAGCAAGAAUUUUUUUCUUCUCACGUAAAAGUUUUGUAAUAACUUCUGCUUCAUAGGAAUAUAAAACCAGGUCAGCUAACAAAGGAGCACAAUUCGUGCCCAUGGGAAUUCUAACAGACUGUUGGAAGACCUGAUCACCAAAGACUACGAAGAUAUUGUCAAUGAGGAACUGCAGCAUAUUUUUUAUUUCAACUUCAGAGUACUCGUGCAUGGAACCAGAGUGGUGUUUAACAAAGUAAUCUUUCGGAUGAUUGAUCACUAGAUAUGAAUAUUUGCGUUUUCCAUUUUUGUUGAACAUGCAACUGUUAAUGACGUCAAAUAGUCUAGUCUUUAAUUAAUUUAUGUUGUUGAUUUGAAAAAAGUCUUGCGAUUUUAAGUUUACUAAAAGUUCUUUAGAGUUUUUUAGAAUUCACAUUUGAUUUACACCACUUCUGGCAUAAUUAUGUAGUCGCACAGUAAGUUUGAAGUUUCUCUUUCACAGUUGUUAAUAUUUUCGUGAGGAGCAAAGAUAGAGGCUUCGUAGAGCACUUACUGGAUCCAGCAGUGUAUCUUUGAUUGUAAGGGUCCAAAAGAAACUAAAAGCAAAGGAAGAAAAGAAAGUACAUAUCCAGCUGAAUAUUUUCUCCUGCGUUGGAGAAAUGGUCGAAUCACAGCAAAAAUCAUGAUUUCGGUUACAGAACACUAGUACUUAGGGACGCAGGACUUUCUCUCCCCCUCCCUGUAUUUUUAUUACCUCCAGGAGUAGGUUGGAGUCAUAAUAGAGGAUUUUAGCUUUUCAUAAAUGUCUUUAAAAUUCUUCAUCCCCUAGGCACCUGAUCCCACCUCUGAUAUAUCAAGGGGUCCGUGUUUGUUCAACUUUCUAUUUUGCAUUCUUUAUAGGAGUUCUGAGAUUGAUUACUGUUCCUUAUCUUCACCUUUCAUCUCAACAACAGCAGGUCGAUGAAUACAAUGUAGUUAUCUUAAUAUGGAAUCAUUCUCCGGUAGUUCAAAUUGAAUUUCGUUCAAUUCAAGUCAGAUUUGGAAUAUACAGGAUAUCAAUUAAAACAAAUUCUUUUCAAAACUAACAGGGCCACACUAAUCAUAUUAAAAACAAAUGUCCCUAUUUUGAAUGAAUUCAAGUUUUUUUUUCUUUUCAAAUCAUUAAGUUAUUGAAAGGACAUAGGCACGAUUUGAGCUGAAAAUUAAGAUUUUUUUUUUUCAUUUUUAUUGUUUAAAAUGCUGAACUAAAUUAUUUCUAAUCGUCAACAAAAUUUGAAUAUCAGUUGUUGAGUUAUAAGUGAGAUACAUCAUUCACCGACAGAAACUGGACGAUGGAAUAAUUAUAAUGUUAAUAGGGAAAAUAGAACAUGCUGUUUAUGUAACGUAGAUAAUGUAGGUGAUGAAUACAUUAUAUUAUGCAUUGGGAAAAGUUUGAACAUGAAAGAAAAGCAUUUGUACCAAAAUAUUAUUGAUCAUGACCAAAUGCUUUCAAAUUUUACAAUGUUUUCUCUACACAGAACGAUUUGUUGUUAAACACUAUAUUCAAAUUUAUAAAAACCGUAAACGAGACGGUCUAUCCUCCUGGUUAGUCAACUGUUAUGGUAUUUGAUACUUGCAAUACAUGUAUAUAUAAACACUGUCUUCUCUGCUCUGUUUACGCAUACUUAUAAUUGUAUUAAAUUGUUUUUGUUUAUAUGUUCUAUAUGUUGUGACUUUCAACUGAGAAAAAUAAACUCAUUCAUUCAUGAA